Molecule: long non-coding RNA, 227 nt
Organism: Dermochelys coriacea (leatherback sea turtle)
Lineage: Eukaryota; Metazoa; Chordata; Testudines; Dermochelyidae
Exons: 3
Source: RefSeq, a predicted model, not a curated record
AGCUGCUUUCAACUACCUGAAAGGGGGUUCCAAAGAGGAUGGAUCUAGACUAGGGGUCGGCAACCUCUGGCAUGCAUGUCGAAGGCAGCACACGAGCUGAUUGUCAGUGGCACUCACACUGCCCAGGUCCUGGCCACCGGUCCAGGGGGCUCUGCAUUUCAAUUUAAUUUUAAAUGAAGCUUCUUAAAUGUUUUAAAAACCUUAUUUACUUUACAUACAACAAUAGU